CUACGUGCCAGCAGCCGCGGUAAUACGUAGGGCGCGAGCGUUGUCCGGAAUUAUUGGGCGUAAAGAGCUUGUAGGCGGUUUGUCGCGUCUGCUGUGAAAGGCCGGAGCUUAACUCCGUGUAUUGCAGUGGGUACGGGCAGACUAGAGUGCAGUAGGGGAGACUGGAAUUCCUGGUGUAGCGGUGGAAUGCGCAGAUAUCAGGAGGAACACCGAUGGCGAAGGCAGGUCUCUGGGCUGUAACUGACGCUGAGAAGCGAAAGCAUGGGGAGCGAACAGGAUUAGAUACCCUGGUAGUCCAUGCCGUAAACGUUGGGCACUAGGUGUGGGGAACACUCCACGUUUUCCGCGCCGUAGCUAACGCAUUAAGUGCCCCGCCUGGGGAGUACGGCCGCAAGGCUAAAACUCAAAGGAAUUGACGGGGGCCCGCACAAGCGGCGGAGCAUGCGGAUUAAUUCGAUGCAACGCGAAGAACCUUACCAAGGCUUGACAUGC
RNAcentral lists this ribosomal RNA (492 nucleotides) under uncultured bacterium. Its description in RNAcentral is "bacterial SSU rRNA". It matches the Rfam family "Bacterial small subunit ribosomal RNA", at positions 501 to 989 of the family's 1533-position model. The record is from RNAcentral.